Molecule: transfer RNA, 65 nt
Filed under: Nepsalus caelestis
Lineage: Eukaryota; Metazoa; Arthropoda; Insecta; Neuroptera; Myrmeleontidae
Description: tRNA-His
Source: RNAcentral
AUUUAAAUAGUUUAAUUAAAAUAUUGACUUGUGGUGUCAAAGAUGUGAUAUUUUCAUUUUAAAUA